AUCAGAGUAGAAAAUAAAGCGUUAAGUGUCAAAAAAUGGAAUGUCGUUUUUGGACGAAGGGCUGUGGCUCGCGGUUUUAUUUUCGCAUUCGCUGAA
RNAcentral lists this non-coding RNA (96 nucleotides) under Enterococcus aquimarinus. RNAcentral describes it as "THF-I sequence". It matches the Rfam family "THF (Tetrahydrofolate) riboswitch aptamer". Rfam says of the family: THF riboswitch presents a pseudoknot that joins P1-P2 and the loop of P3 and two THF binding. Lineage: Bacteria; Bacillati; Bacillota; Bacilli; Lactobacillales; Enterococcaceae. The record is from Rfam by way of RNAcentral.